This is a non-coding RNA of Myotis lucifugus (little brown bat), 73 nucleotides long. Lineage: Eukaryota; Metazoa; Chordata; Mammalia; Chiroptera; Vespertilionidae. The record is from Rfam.
GCCCGAAUAGCUCAGUUGGUUGAGCGUUGUCCCAUGCGCCCAAAGGUUGCUGGUUCGAUUCCAGGUGAGGGCG